UACGGGGGGGGCAAGCGUUGUUCGGAAUUACUGGGCGUAAAGGGCGCGUAGGCGGGUGGACAAGUCUCUCGUGAAAGCCCACGGCUCAACCGUGGAAUUGCUGGAGAUACUGUCUGUCUUGAGUCCGGGAGAGGAGGGUGGAAUUCCCAGUGUAGCGGUGAAAUGCGUAGAUAUUGGGAGGAACACCGGUGGCGAAGGCGGCUCUCUGGACCGGUACUGCCGCUGAGGCGCGAAAGCUAGGGGAGCAAACGGG
Molecule: ribosomal RNA, 253 nt
Filed under: uncultured bacterium
Lineage: Bacteria
Description: partial 16S ribosomal RNA
Rfam family: Bacterial small subunit ribosomal RNA
Source: RNAcentral